UACCAGACUCCUACGGGAGGCAGCAGUGGGGAAUAUUGCACAAUGGGGGAAACCCUGAUGCAGCGACGCCGCGUGGAGGAAGAAGGUCUUCGGAUUGUAAACUCCUGUCCUUGGGGACGAUAAUGGCGGUAACCAAGGAGGAAGCACCGGCUAACUACGUGCCAGCAGCCGCGGGAAAACGUAGGGUGCAAGCGUUGUCCGGAAUUACUGGGUGUAAAGGGAGCGCAGGCGGAUUGACAAGUUGGGAGUGAAAACUACGGGCUCAACCCGUAACCUGCUUUCAAAACUGUCAGUCUUGAGUGGUGUAGAGGUAGGCGGAAUUCCCGGUGUAGCGGUGGAAUGCGUAGAUAUUAGGAGGAACACCAGUGGCGAAGGCGGCCUGCUGGGCUUUUACUGACGCUGAGGCUCGAAAGUGUGGGGAGCAAACAGGAUUAGAUACCCCUGUA
RNAcentral lists this ribosomal RNA (446 nucleotides) under uncultured bacterium. RNAcentral's name for it is "bacterial SSU rRNA". It matches the Rfam family "Bacterial small subunit ribosomal RNA", at positions 329 to 792 of the family's 1533-position model. The record is from RNAcentral.